Molecule: long non-coding RNA, 264 nt
Organism: Acanthaster planci (crown-of-thorns starfish)
Lineage: Eukaryota; Metazoa; Echinodermata; Asteroidea; Valvatida; Acanthasteridae
Source: RefSeq, a predicted model, not a curated record
GACGCCCACGUGCGUGGAGAGCAGCUAGAUCAAGCGAAAGAUCAUGCCCCUUGUUGCCAUGGUAUCCUCUCUGGUAGCAUUGAUGAAGGAUCAGGCAAGACGGUCAUACUGCAGAAUCCAAGACUGCCUGCAUCAUACAACCUCCAGAAAUGAAAGAAGAGGAGUUGAAAAAUGGGCACUUGUUAGCAAGUGGAUAGACACGGAGAGGGCAGAGAGAGUGGAAGGAGCAUGUACUGUCCAUCUAGGAGAUGUCUGUCGUCUGCA